AUGUGCCUUGAAGCUUUCCAUGACUUCCCCUUUGCUGCCAGGAGACUGAAAAGUCUGAUGCCACGGAGCAGAAGUCUGAUGCCACAGAGGAGAAAUCAGAAGCCACAGAAGAUAAAUCUGAUUCUAAGGAUGAAAAAUCUGAUGCCACAAAUGAAACUGAGGCACACACAGGAGACAAGGCAGAUGAAGGGGCCCCUGAAGAGGCUCAGUCUGACCAGACACCACCAGAAGAUCAACAGGAAGAAGAAGAAAAGCAGGGAGAGGGAGAAGAAAAAGAAGAGGUGGAGGAGCAGGAAGAGUCUUAGUACAGUUCUCUAUGACACAAUAUUUCUUGAACAGGUUUUCAGGAAGCACCAGCUGGAGCCACCCCACCAAAGAAAAGAAAAUCCCUUUCCCAAGCAAAGCACCACUACCUUUUGUGCCUGUAUGAACACAAAAACAUAAACAGAACACAGACACCACUCUGUCCCACCUGCAGCAUUUAUCUAUAUAUUUGGUAUUCCAGAUGCUUGUUAAAAUGGAUCUCAUGUCUGACAGAUGGUAUUUCAGUCAAUUGUUAUGUGUUGGGAUAGUUUUGUCCGUGUCACAUUUAGAUUGUGAGCUCCCCAGGGCAGGAACCACGUCUCUCUCCAUGUCCAAACACUGCCAAGCACGCUGCUGCCACUCAGCAGCCGACUGCACUCACACACUGACGUCUUCAGAGGAAAAGAAAAUCAGCACUGAAAACUUCAAAGAGGCUUCCUGUACACAAGCCAUGUGAGUCACUUCUCCCUCAGCUGGCAUUUGAAAAUGAUUGAGAUUCCCAUUGUGCAGCAGUUUAAAUAAAUGUGUUUUCUGUCGUAUCUGCUCUUUGUCU
Molecule: long non-coding RNA, 856 nt
Filed under: Parus major (Great Tit)
Lineage: Eukaryota; Metazoa; Chordata; Aves; Passeriformes; Paridae
Description: lncRNA (ENSPMJG00000010242.1)
Source: RNAcentral